UCUUCAACACAGCGAGAAAAUCCCGCACCAGGAGUCGGGUUUCAGCUGAUCCCCUCAUCGGAAACGUGUACUCGCUCAGUGAAAAUGGACGUAACACUUAAUUCCAAAACAAACAAAUGAACUAAACUUUAAAAUAAUAUACAAGUCUAUCUUACAAGGCCAGAGGCUCCUGACUUUAUGCGGGGUUAAACUUGUUUUGUGAAAUAUCAACCCUCCCCUUGUACCUCUAGCAAACUUAGAAUAAACAAACACACAGCAAUUCGCACAAUAAAAUCAGUUUUAAAAAAGCCCUGAUCCCAGA
RNAcentral lists this long non-coding RNA (301 nucleotides) under Mytilus galloprovincialis (Mediterranean mussel). The record is from RNAcentral. Lineage: Eukaryota; Metazoa; Mollusca; Bivalvia; Mytilida; Mytilidae.